AGAUCGCAUCUAAAAACACGUUUGAUACAUUGGCGAAGAAGUUAAAUAAGUCGAUUUCUGACAGGGAAAAGGACGAAGCUUUAAUG
Molecule: long non-coding RNA, 86 nt
Organism: Cydia pomonella (codling moth)
Lineage: Eukaryota; Metazoa; Arthropoda; Insecta; Lepidoptera; Tortricidae
Exons: 3
Source: RefSeq, a predicted model, not a curated record